RNAcentral lists this ribosomal RNA (253 nucleotides) under uncultured bacterium. RNAcentral describes it as "partial 16S ribosomal RNA". It matches the Rfam family "Bacterial small subunit ribosomal RNA", at positions 524 to 776 of the family's 1533-position model. The record is from RNAcentral.
UACGGAGGGAGCGAGCGUUGUCCGAAGUUACUGGGCGUAAAGCGCGCGUAGGCGGCUUGUUGCGUCGACUGUGAAAACCCGCGGCUUAACUGCGGGCUUGCAGUUGAUACGGGCAGGCUAGAGUUCGGUAGGGGAGACUGGAAUUCCUGGUGUAGCGGUGAAAUGCGCAGAUAUCAGGAGGAACACCGGUGGCGAAGGCGGGUCUCUGGGCCGAUACUGACGCUGAGGAGCGAAAGCGUGGGGAGCGAACAGG